ACGAACGCUGGCGGCGUGCUUAACACAUGCAAGUCGCACGGGCCCGCUCUCUUUUUUGGGGGUGGGUUGAGUGGCGAACGGGUGAGUAUCACGUGAGUAACCUGCCCCCUGCUCCUGGAUAACUGCUUGAAAGGGCGGCUAAUACGGGGUGUGCCGGCUGGUCCGCAUGGGCCUGGUCGGGAUAGUUUCAUCUUCGGGUGUUUCGGUGGGGGAUGGGCUCGCGGCCUAUCAGCUUGUUGGUGGGGUGAUGGCCCACCAAGGCGGUGACGGGUAGCCGGCCUGAGAGGGUGGGCGGCCACACUGGGACUGAGACACGGCCCAGACUCCUGCGGGAGGCAGCAGUGGGGGGUAUUGCACAAUGGGCGGAAGCCUGAUGCAGCGACGUCGCGUGAGGGAUGGAGGCCUUCGGGUUGUGAACCUCUUUCUCCGGUGGUGAAGGCCCUGUCCGUUGCGGCGGGGUUGACGGUAGCCGGGUAUGAAGCGCCGGCUAACUACGUG
This 498-nucleotide ribosomal RNA is filed under the name uncultured bacterium. RNAcentral describes it as "partial 16S ribosomal RNA". It matches the Rfam family "Bacterial small subunit ribosomal RNA", at positions 29 to 507 of the family's 1533-position model. The record is from RNAcentral.